CGUGUAGGCGGCCUAGCAAGUCGGGCGUGAAAGCCCUCGGCUCAACCGAGGAAGUGCACCCGAAACUGCUGAGCUUGAGUGCCGGAGAGGAUGGCGGAAUUCCCCAAGUAGAGGUGAAAUUCGUAGAUAUGGGGAGGAACACCGGUGGCGAAGGCGGCCAUCUGGACGGUAACUGACGCUGAGACGCGAAAGCGUGGGUAGCAAACA
RNAcentral lists this ribosomal RNA (207 nucleotides) under uncultured delta proteobacterium. RNAcentral's name for it is "partial 16S ribosomal RNA". It matches the Rfam family "Bacterial small subunit ribosomal RNA", at positions 568 to 774 of the family's 1533-position model. Lineage: Bacteria; Deltaproteobacteria. The record is from RNAcentral.